UACGAAGGGGGCUAGCGUUGUUCGGAAUUACUGGGCGUAAAGCGCACGUAGGCGGUUAUUUAAGUCAGGGGUGAAAUCCCGGGGCUCAACCCCGGAACUGCCUUUGAUACUGGGUAUCUCGAGUCCGAGAGAGGUGAGUGGAAUUCCGAGUGUAGAGGUGAAAUUCGUAGAUAUUCGGAGGAACACCAGUGGCGAAGGCGGCUCACUGGCUCGGUACUGACGCUGAGGUGCGAAAGCGUGGGGAGCAAACAGG
RNAcentral lists this ribosomal RNA (253 nucleotides) under uncultured bacterium. RNAcentral's name for it is "partial 16S ribosomal RNA". It matches the Rfam family "Bacterial small subunit ribosomal RNA", at positions 524 to 776 of the family's 1533-position model. The record is from RNAcentral.